CUUAGUUAAUGACUGAAAGCCAAAUGACAAUAACAAAAGUCUCCCGGGCUGGGGAGACUUUUUAGUCAGUU
RNAcentral lists this small RNA (71 nucleotides) under Citrobacter sedlakii. RNAcentral describes it as "Enterobacterial sRNA STnc230". It matches the Rfam family "Enterobacterial sRNA STnc230", at positions 12 to 83 of the family's 83-position model. Lineage: Bacteria; Pseudomonadati; Pseudomonadota; Gammaproteobacteria; Enterobacterales; Enterobacteriaceae. The record is from RNAcentral.